Molecule: long non-coding RNA, 320 nt
Organism: Oreochromis niloticus (Nile tilapia)
Lineage: Eukaryota; Metazoa; Chordata; Actinopteri; Cichliformes; Cichlidae
Exons: 3
Source: RefSeq, a predicted model, not a curated record
CAGCACAACUGAAAAGCAGGGGCUCCUGCUGGAGGCCACACUGACGACCCCAAGGACUGUAGGAAGGAAACAAGUGGUUGAGUUCUGGCAGCACGCUGGCGCAACUUAAUCCAAGCCUGCAAAUUAAAAAAAGUUUUAUGGGGAAUCCUGGAUGUUGUACAAGAAAAACGGCGGUGCUUACUGAUUUUUAUCUGCUGAAAAGAUGUGCGUCUCAGUGUUUGCUAAUUUCUCACCUGGUAAACGCAGCAGGGGUGUUGAGGUGGUGAAACAGAGCCGGCUCACACACGAGGGAGGACCGCCGGCACGCACUCACACAGGAC